GAUUUCCCUAGAGCAGAUCAUCUGAUUGAAGUGUUCUUGCCUGUAGACACCGGGGAGAGCUGUUGCUGCCUCCACACGAAGACACAGUGGGAUACAGUUGCCCCGCAGCAGCUCCUGAGGGCAAGUUGCAGAGGAGUUUUGUGGCCUCGACUGUAAAGCACCGAAGGGAGCAAGAAUGUUUUUUCGCAUCCCUCGCCUGACCCCUGGAUAUAUAAGAUAUCUGCAGACCCAGGCAGCCCAGACGAUGCUGCAGAGCCGGGAGAGCACUGCCACGCCACGCCUGGCCCUCCUGAUGGGUCUGCUUGGUGUGGGUUUGUCCAGCUACAGCUCCCGCCAACUCACACUCCAUUGCAAGCCAUCCACUCACCUCUUCAGAUGAAAGAGAUGGAGGAGACACCAAGUUUUUUUUGUAUAUAUAUAUAUAUGCAUAUAUACAUAUAUAUAUCUGUGUUAUUUAGAAAGUAUUUUCCUUGUGAUGGUUGUUUUCUGGAUUUUGACAAAACCAGACAAAAUCUUUAGAGAUACUGAUGACAGAAGUAUUCUACCAUUUGGCAGCUUUUAUUCCAAUAUUCAGUCUUUGAGUCACAAGUUUUAUGAACUUAAACAUGAUUAUUUCCCAAAAUAUCAACAACUGCAAACUUACUCAUCAUAUAUUUAUGUUGCUGUUUGCGGUUUCCCGUUUUCUGAUUCAGGCUCAACAUUUACCAAAGUUCUAACAAUUUAGUAUUAUUAUUUUGUUGUGUUUGGAUUGACAAGCGUGUUGCCUUACAGUUUUGUUUAAAUGGGUCCCAAUAAGAGGUACCUUUAUUUCUUCUGCACAGCAAGAGUAUUUAUUUUUUUUUGUUGAAUGUUAAAGAUGCACAGACAAAAGGAAAGGCAGCUAAUGAUGUUUCUUUGGAACUUGGUUCAUGUUGUACUUGGAUCACGGCCCUCAGCUCUCUAGUUUUCCCGUGCCUUAUCAUGGGAUUAUUCACUUAGAAGUCGCAAUUUUGCAAAAAAAAAAACAAAAAACAAAGGAAAACAUUAGUCGUGAUGCUUAUCUCAAUAUGUGAUGAAGCAAAGACAUCCUGUCAGAGAUUCACCAUGCUGUGAAGACUCAUAAAAUCUCAGAAGAGAGAAAAAAAAUCUAUUCAGGUCAAAAUUUUUGAAAGUUAACAAAUGUGUACUCUUACGCUUAUUUGUGAACGUUACCUGUAUAUGUAGCCAUGCAUGUGUUUCUUGAACACUAAAUGAGAUUAGUGCUGCAGGACAUUGAGUCCGUCCUCCUUAUUUUGUAAGGUGGACCGGGAGACAACCAGCCGGGCUCAUUUGUUGUUGCCGAGCAGAGAAACCAGGACAGCCAUCCUGGAUGCCACCUUGGGUCAACAUUUGAAUCCGCAUGGAUCUCUCUCAGUUGCACUCCACAUAUCAUAAUCUGAAUGUAGAUGAAUGACCGUUGGAGGUCUCUUAACAAAAAAUGUACCUUUUUGUGGCUGUGUACUUGUUUGUGUUUGAUGCGAUUUUUAAUGGAGAAAAUGAACUUUGACAGCACAAUGAAUGUAAAUAGGAGCAGUUAGACUGUAAUUGUAAUGAUGAUUAUAUUGAAACCUCUUUGCAAAAGCAAUGAGGUUAUGUCAAUAGCAUGACUGUAAAAGAUCCCUAAAGAUCUUCUUUAGAUAUAAACAAUCUUAAGACCAUCUUACAACUGAGACAUGAGGAAAAAAAAGUGUAAGGAAGUAGUAUAUUUAUAGGGACACUGUGUGAUUUAAAAAAAAAAAAGUUGUAUUUGAUGAUGCAGUAAUGUAUUUGAUGCAGGAUUGUGGUAUGAAGGCAUACAAUGCCUUUGCUACAUAUAUUAAAAGCAAAACUGUUGCACUAAGAGAUUUAAAUGACAGUGUUUAUGUUUCCUACAGCCAAUAUAAGACUUAUUGCAAGUUUACUGAAAUAUGUGCAGUAAAUAAAGUACAUUUAAAAAAACUGUAAUUUUUCAGAAUGGCCUGUCGGUUUGCCCUUAUGGACCCGAUGCACUUAAUAAACAUUGUGCACAAUUGUUUAUGUUUCAAUAAAUUAUUAAAAACCUCA
Molecule: long non-coding RNA, 2061 nt
Organism: Poecilia reticulata (guppy)
Lineage: Eukaryota; Metazoa; Chordata; Actinopteri; Cyprinodontiformes; Poeciliidae
Source: RefSeq, a predicted model, not a curated record